CGGUGAACCUCUUCGGAGGGGAUCAGUGGCGAACGGGUGAGUAACACGUGGGCAACCUGCCCCCGGCUCUGGGAUAACUCCAAGAAAUUGGGGCUAAUACCGGAUGUUCACCGCUGUCCGCAUGGAUGGUGGUGGAAAGGGUUUCCGGCUGGGGAUGGGCCCGCGGCCUAUCAGCUUGUUGGUGGGGUAGUGGCCUACCAAGGCGACGACGGGUAGCCGGCCUGAGAGGGUGACCGGCCACACUGGGACUGAGACACGGCCCAGACUCCUACGGGAGGCAGCAGUGGGGAAUAUUGCGCAAUGGGCGGAAGCCUGACGCAGCGACGCCGCGUGGGGGAUGACGGCCUUCGGGUUGUAAACCUCUUUCAGCAGGGACGAAGCGCAAGUGACGGUACCUGCAGAAGAAGCACCGGCCAACUACGUGCCAGCAGCCGCGGUAAUACGUAGGGUGCAAGCGUUGUCCGGAAUUAUUGGGCGUAAAGAGCUCGUAGGCGGUUCGUCGCGUCGGCUGUGAAAACCCGGAGCUCAACUCCGGGCCUGCAGUCGAUACGGGCGGACUUGAGUUCGGCAGGGGAGACUGGAAUUCCUGGUGUAGCGGUGAAAUGCGCAGAUAUCAGGAGGAACACCGGUGGCGAAGGCGGGUCUCUGGGCCGAAACUGACGCUGAGGAGCGAAAGCGUGGGGAGCGAACAGGAUUAGAUACCCUGGUAGUCCACGCCGUAAACGUUGGGCGCUAGGUGUGGGGGCCAUUCCACGGUCUCCGUGCCGCAGCUAACGCAUUAAGCGCCCCGCCUGGGGAGUAC
This 802-nucleotide ribosomal RNA is filed under the name Geodermatophilus sp. RNAcentral's name for it is "bacterial SSU rRNA". It matches the Rfam family "Bacterial small subunit ribosomal RNA", at positions 67 to 883 of the family's 1533-position model. The record is from RNAcentral. Lineage: Bacteria; Bacillati; Actinomycetota; Actinomycetes; Geodermatophilales; Geodermatophilaceae.